UGUGUGGACAGGCAGGGCGCGGUGCUCAAGGCUUCCCAAUGCUCCUGCAAUGGAUCCUCCCUACCCAGCCCACAACCUGGCAACCCAGCGGCCAGCUGUUCUCUGCAGCUUUCUACUAUCAUGGACGCAGGAAACGGCGCGUUGCCCUCCUUCCCUGCUCCUUGGAUCGAGUUGUAAGGAGAACAUGCCCACUGUCUCGAUGGCUGCAGUGUGUGGCCACCACAGGUGGUGAUGAAGAUAUGGGUUUCCACCCAUGCUGUAGAUGGAAUGUUUGUGUCCUCCCGAAAUUCCUAUGUUGAAGCUUAACCACCAAUGUGAUGGUAUUUGGAGAUGGGCCUUUGGUGAGGAUGCAAAGAGAAAGUGGCUGCCUGCAAACCAGGAGGAGAGCCCUCACCAGGAACCAAUCUAGCUGACACUUUGAACUUGGACUCCAAACCUCCAGUAUUGUACAAAAUAAAUAUGUGUUUUCAAUGUCA
This is a long non-coding RNA of Macaca mulatta (Rhesus monkey), 476 nucleotides long. RefSeq lists it as uncharacterized. The record is from RefSeq and is a predicted model, not a curated record. NCBI's taxonomy places the organism in Eukaryota, Metazoa, Chordata, Mammalia, Primates, Cercopithecidae.